RNAcentral lists this ribosomal RNA (430 nucleotides) under Pseudomonadota bacterium. RNAcentral describes it as "Proteobacteria bacterium partial 16S ribosomal RNA". It matches the Rfam family "Bacterial small subunit ribosomal RNA", at positions 355 to 776 of the family's 1533-position model. The record is from RNAcentral. Lineage: Bacteria; Pseudomonadati; Pseudomonadota.
UGGGGAAUAUUGGACAAUGGGGGGAACCCUGAUCCAGCCAUGCCGCGUGUGUGAAGAAGGCCUUAUGGUUGUAAAGCACUUUAAGCGAGGAGGAGGGUACUGGUAUUAAUACUACCAGGUACUGGACGUUACUCGCAGAAUAAGCACCGGCUAACUCUGUGCCAGCAGCCGCGGUAAUACAGAGGGUGCGAGCGUUAAUCGGAUUUACUGGGCGUAAAGCGUGCGUAGGCGGCUAAUUGAGUCGGAUGUGAAAUCCCCGAGCUUAACUUGAUAAUUGCAUUCGAUACUGGUUUGCUAGAGUGUGGGAGAGGAUGGUAGAAUUCCAGGUGUAGCGGUGAAAUGCGUAGAGAUCUGGAGGAAUACCGAUGGCGAAGGCAGCCAUCUGGCCUAACACUGACGCUGAGGUACGAAAGCAUGGGGAGCAAACAGG